Molecule: ribosomal RNA, 433 nt
Filed under: uncultured bacterium
Lineage: Bacteria
Description: partial 16S ribosomal RNA
Rfam family: Bacterial small subunit ribosomal RNA
Source: RNAcentral
AGCGAACGCUGGCGGCAGGCCUAACACAUGCAAGUCGAACGAACUCUUCGGAGUUAGUGGCGGAGGGGGGAGUAAGACGUGGGAACGUGCCUGUAGGUUAGGAAUAACUGAGGGAAACUUGUGCUAAUACCGAAUGAGCCCUUCGGGGGAAAGAGUUAGCGCUGUUAGAUCGGCGCGCGUCUGUUUAGCUAGUUGGUGAGGUACAGGCGGACCAAGGCGUCGAUCAGUAGCUGGUCUGAGAGGAUGAUCAGCCACAAUGGGACUGAGACACGGCCCAAUCUGCUACGUGAGGCAGCAGUGGAGAAUCUUGCGCAAUGAGCCCAAGUCUGACACAGCCGUGCCACGGAAAUGAUGCUUGUCUUAGGAUUGUAUAAUUCUUUCACCGGGAACGUUAAUGACGGUACCGGGAGAAGAAGCCCCGGCUAACUUCGUG